UACGGCGGGGGUAAGCGUUAUCCGGAAUCACUGGGUUUAAAGGGUGCGUAGGCGGCUAAAUAAGUCAGAGGUGAAAGCUUGCAGCUUAACUGCGAAAUUGCCUUUGAUACUGUAUAGCUUGAAAGGAGCUGAGGUCAGCAGAAUGUGGCAUGUAGCGGUGAAAUGCAUAGAUAUGCCAUAGAAUACCAAUUGCGAAGGCAGCUGGCUGGGCUUACUUUGACGCUGAGGCACGAAAGCGUGGGGAUCGAACAGG
Molecule: ribosomal RNA, 253 nt
Filed under: uncultured bacterium
Lineage: Bacteria
Description: partial 16S ribosomal RNA
Rfam family: Bacterial small subunit ribosomal RNA
Source: RNAcentral